AUGGAAGAAGAUCAGGUUAAAUUAGCAGCACUCAUCGCGGAGCUAGAGGAGCCAGUUGGUCUUUGCGACUUGCCAGCAAUUGACCCUCCUAAUACUAAUAGAAAGAAGGGAAGGGCAAUAAAGAAUUUUUCUGAGUGGAUAGAGAAAGAGCCUCCAAUGAAUUGGUCUUUGCUGCAUGACACACAUGGAGCUAGGUAUGGCCACAUGACAACCAAUCUUGCAGAGGUGUAUAACUUUGUGCUGAGAGGGAAUAGAGCAUUGCCACUCACAGCUAUUGUGGAGGCUGUAUUCCAUGGCACUUUGAGAUAUUUCAGAGAAAGGCACGAGUUAGCAAAGAAGCAUAUUGAAGAUAAUCAGAACACACCUUAUUGUAGCCGUGUCAUGGAAUACAUGGCAAAGAAGAUAGAGAAAGCAAAGAAGCACAGUGUCAGACUCAUAGGGAAUCAAGAAAGGAGGUAUGAGGUUCAGCUUCCUACCGAUGGUUUUGGUUCUGGAAAUGAGGUGAAGACACACGAGGUUAAAAUUGGAACGGAAUUUUAUCCAACGUGUGAGUGUACAUGCAACAAACCGAAGUUGUUGCACCUACCUUGCUCUCAUGUGUUGGCUGCCUGUGGCCAGAUUCAGUUGGAUGCUAUAUCCUUCGUGUCCCCAUACUAUUUAAAAGAGGCAGUGCUCAACACCUGGACAGGCGAGAUGACAGGGUUUAGAGUCGUCGGCAAUUUCAACAAGGUAAACGACGGUGAGAGAGUAUACAUCCCGCAUCCAGACCUUCAGCGAACAAGUAGGGGCAGACGAAAGGCCCGUCGCAUCCGGAACGAUAUGGACCAGUCUGAAGCUGGUGGAGCAACCAGACAAUGUUUGUUAUGCGCGGCUUAUGGGCAUAGGAUGAAAUAU
RNAcentral lists this ribosomal RNA (894 nucleotides) under Triticum aestivum (bread wheat). Its description in RNAcentral is "partial small subunit ribosomal RNA". The record is from RNAcentral. Lineage: Eukaryota; Viridiplantae; Streptophyta; Magnoliopsida; Poales; Poaceae.